This is a non-coding RNA of Cucurbita pepo subsp. pepo (vegetable marrow), 461 nucleotides long. The record is from RefSeq and is a predicted model, not a curated record. Lineage: Eukaryota; Viridiplantae; Streptophyta; Magnoliopsida; Cucurbitales; Cucurbitaceae.
UUGAGGAUUUUUAGGUGUUUCAAUUAAUUGAUUUUGGAGAUUUUUCUUCUUUCAAGUUUGUUUGCCUUGACUCAGAUCUCUACGCGGAAAUCAGAGGGAGAAGGACCGAGAGAGGGCUCAGGCUCGUAACCCUGGCAAGGGCAAAUCCAAGGAUGAUGGUUUGACCCACGAGCAGCGCCGUGAAAGGGAUGCGAAGGCUCUACAGGAGAAGGCGGCGAAGAAGGCGGCUCAGGCAUCAGGGGGAGAUAAUUCGUCCGGAGGUAAAAGUAGCAAUAAAAAGUAAAUCGCCGUGAACUAUGUCGAUUUUUAACUUUGUUCUUGUUGGAACGCUGAGAUCUCGUGGAUUUCUUAAGACUGUUUGAUAUUGGAGAAACAACCUCUGUAUGUCUAAAUGAUGUGAAUGGAUAUGUAUUAUGCGGUCAACGUUAAUUGGAGAAAACUCUCUUGAUAUGUUGUGUUGA